UGGGUGAUCUGCCCUGCACUUCGGGAUAAGCCUGGGAAACUGGGUCUAAUACCGGAUAUGACCUUGGGAUGCAUGUCCUUUGGUGGAAAGCUUUUGCGGUGUGGGAUGGGCCCGCGGCCUAUCAGCUUGUUGGUGGGGUUAAGGCCUACCAAGGCGGCGACGGGUAGCCGGCCUGAGAGGGUGACCGGCCACACUGGGACUGAGAUACCGGCCCAGACCUCCGUACGGGAGGCA
RNAcentral lists this ribosomal RNA (234 nucleotides) under uncultured bacterium. RNAcentral's name for it is "partial 16S ribosomal RNA". It matches the Rfam family "Bacterial small subunit ribosomal RNA", at positions 118 to 350 of the family's 1533-position model. The record is from RNAcentral.